GAUGAAGAACGUAGCAAAAUGCGAUACUUGGUGUGAAUUGCAGAAUCCCGUGAACCAUCGAGUUUUUGAACGCAAGUUGCGCCCGAAGCCUUUUGGCCGAGGGCACGUCUGCGUGGGCGUCACGCAUCGCGUCGCCCCCCACAAUUCUCCGUAAAGGGAACAUGUGUUUUGGGGGCGGAUAUUGGUCUCCCGUGCUCAUGGCGUGGUUGGCCGAAAUAGGAGUCCUUUCGAUGGACGCACGAACUAGUGGUGGUCGUAAAAACCCUCGUCUUUUGUUUCGUGCUGUUGCUCGCAAGGUAAACUCUUUAAAAACCCCAAUGUGUCGUCUCUUGACGACGCUUCGACCGCGACCCCAGGUCAGGCGGGACUACCCGCUGAGUUUAAGCAUAUCAAUAAGCGGAGGA
Molecule: unclassified non-coding RNA, 404 nt
Filed under: soil metagenome
Description: partial contains 5.8S ribosomal RNA, internal transcribed spacer 2, and large subunit ribosomal RNA
Rfam family: 5.8S ribosomal RNA (bases 1-122)
Source: RNAcentral